AGCAGCCGCGGUAAUUCCAGCUCCAAUAGCGUAUAUUAAAGUUGUUGCAGUUAAAAAGCUCGUAGUUGAAUUUCGGGAUUGACGUGAUGGUCGUGCCUUACGGGGUAUGAACUGUUGCAGUCAAUUUCUCACCUUCUGGAGAAGUAUGAUGUCCUUAAUUGGGUGUCAUAUGGAACCAGAACUUUUACCUUGAAAAAUUAGAGUGUUUAAAGCAGGCUUAUUGCUCGAAUACAUUAGCAUGGAAUAAUAAAAUAGGACGGCAUGGUUCUAUUUUGUUGGUUUCUAGGAUCACCGUAAUGAUUAAUAGGGAUAGUUGGGGGCAUUAGUAUUCAAUUGUCAGAGGUGAAAUUCUUGGAUUUAUUGAAGACUAACUACUGCGAAAGCAUUUGCCAAGGAUGUUUUCAUUAAUCAAGAACGAAAGUUAGGGGAUCGAAGACGAUCAGAUACCGUCGUAGUCUUAACCAUAAACUAUGCCGACUAGGAAUCAGACGAUGUUAAUUUUUAAUGACUCGUUUGG
Molecule: ribosomal RNA, 517 nt
Filed under: uncultured Entrophospora
Lineage: Eukaryota; Fungi; Glomeromycota; Glomeromycetes; Entrophosporales; Entrophosporaceae
Description: SSU rRNA
Rfam family: Eukaryotic small subunit ribosomal RNA
Source: RNAcentral